GAUGAACGCUGGCGGCGUGCCUAACACAUGCAAGUCGAGCGAGACGUAUAUGGACGAAACUUCGGUCUAGGAAAUAUAUUGACAGCGGCGGACGGGUGAGUAACGCGUAGGCAACCUGCCCUUAACACAGGGAUAGCCUCGGGAAACCGGGAUUAACACCUGAUAAUGCCAAAUAGUCACAUGGCUGUUUGGCCAAAGAUUUAUCGGUUAAGGAUGGGCCUGCGUCUGAUUAGUUUGUUGGUGGGGUAACGGCCUACCAAGACUACGAUCAGUAGCCGACCUGAGAGGGUGAUCGGCCACAUUGGAACUGAGACACGGUCCAAACUCCUACGGGAGGCAGCAGUGGGGAAUAUUGCACAAUGGGCGAAAGCCUGAUGCAGCAACGCCGCGUGAGCGAUGAAGGCCUUUGGGUCGUAAAGCUCUGUCCUUGGGGAAGAAACAAAUGACGGUACCCAAGGAGGAAGCCCCGGCUAACUACGUGCCAGCCGCCGCAGUAA
This 497-nucleotide ribosomal RNA is filed under the name uncultured bacterium. RNAcentral's name for it is "partial 16S ribosomal RNA". It matches the Rfam family "Bacterial small subunit ribosomal RNA", at positions 28 to 523 of the family's 1533-position model. The record is from RNAcentral.